This 6779-nucleotide long non-coding RNA is filed under the name Homo sapiens (human). RNAcentral's name for it is "HSALNT0174434". Lineage: Eukaryota; Metazoa; Chordata; Mammalia; Primates; Hominidae. The record is from RNAcentral.
CCAGGCUGCAGUGCAGUGGCACGAUCUCGGCUCACUACAACCUCCACCUCCCAGGUUUAAGCGAUUCUCCUGCCUCACCCUCCUGAGUAGCUGGGAUUACAGAGUGAAGCCAAAGGCACAGGAAGCACAGCUGGAAUGGGGACAUAGGAACGCGGGGGCUCCCAUGAGUUGACCGGACAACUGAGAGAUGGCAACCUAGACCUGGGGGACAAAAUAUGCUAUGUUUUCGUGAAUCCAUGAUUCGACCUGAAGAAGAAGGAAAGAACUGGACAUCCAGAUGAGUACAUUGAUAUCGAAGAAAAAAAGAGGAGGGAGCACACAGGUGAGCAGGUGCAGGAACCAGCCGGACAAUUUGCCGCCAGCAGGAAUGAACUCCAAGCAGGCCCCACUGCAGUAUCCAGGUCGGGGUGCCUGUGACUUCUGAAGCCACAGAGGAGCUAGUCCAUCAGGCUCUAAAUUUUUAAACGUGUAAGUUUCAGAAUCACAGAAAUCUUAGAAGAUAUUGAACAGCUAAAGCUUUGAAGCAACGAGACUUUAGAUCCUCUCUCCUCAUUCCUAUUUUCCUCAUCAUAUCAACCUUUUUAAGAAGCAGAAGAAUGAUGAAAGAGAUGGGGCCAACACUCUCAGAGGUGGGUUGUGGCAAAGCGUAAUGUAGAAUUUAGAUUCUAUAUCUCUCAGCCCCUCUGCUCAUUCCACCUCAUCUGGCUUCAAUCCCAGCUUCUUGUUCUUGUUUUAUUUCCCUUCUGCUGUUUCUUUCUUUGAGUUGCAUUUCUGGUGCCAGGUGAGAAAAACAGCUGAGCACUGUGGAGGCGGAAGAUACAGAGAGCUCCAUUGCAGCCACAGUGAUGGAUGGCAUCGAUAGAGAAAAUCCCACAAAAGAGCUUGACUUUUCUCAUGAAUCUGCAGUUUCUUCCGAAAAAGUGAAAUUUUAUCAAAUGGUAAAGUAAGACAACUGUUUCCUCCAGCAGUGACUUCUAUAUAGGUCAAAAUGACACUGAAUCGGACCUGAGACAAAUUCCUCAUAGAAUAGGUCUUAGUUAAAUUCUGAUUUCAGUUUUUUAGUCUUUAGAAUAGAGAUUAGUUAUGUAUGAUUAGUACUUUUAAAAGUUGUCUACAUCUCAAUAUCUGGGAGGAUGUGAAAAGAUCAUUGAUUCACUUGUCAGCAAUUAUUUACUGCCUAUUAUGUGCUAGGCACAUUGCUGGGCUCUAACAUUGUUAAUAUGUGGGCCACAGAGCACUAUAGCUAAAUUCUGGUGUAUGCGCCUCCGAGUUCUGGGAAAUAUUUCUUAUUGGAUUGACAUUUCUUAAGAGGAAAAUGGCACACAAUUAUUAACUAUCAUUAAGUAUUGUUGCUAAAGCCAAUAUCUGAACAUCUGCAAGAUGAACAUCUGCAAGAUGACUGGCACGUGACAAGGACAUCAGUGAUGCUUCAUGGUUUCUGGGUAAUGUCUCAGAGGACUUAUAGAUGAUCAUAUCUAGAGAUCGCUUAUCAACUUAGUGGAAAUAUUGACAGAAGCAUGAUGAAAAAUAUUGCAUAUAUUUCUUAAAAUGAAGUUAUGUAGAAACAACAGUGAACUCUAAAUGAUAAACAGUAACUCUAGUUUUUACAUGUUGACAUUUCAAAAGCAACCUAUUUGUUUAAACUUGUCUCAUUUGAGCCUUCUAGCACAUUUAACUCAAGUUGAAAAUAUCCUAACAGCCAAAGAAACAUUAAUCAAGAGGGCUAAUUUAUCUUGUGGACAAGUCUGACCCUGCUAUUUGAUGUACUAACAAUUCUCUAUAAGGAUAGUUGCUACACAAUAUCCAUUAUGGCAGAAACCUGGCUACCAGAACCAAUUUGCUCAUUUGAAUAAGAUUUCAGAGCCUGAAAUCAUCUCGCCUGACCUAUACUUUUUUUUAAUUACACAGUUGAGACCCAGAAAAGUUAUCUGUAGACUUCAGCCUUUGCAAAAAAAUGGAAGGUGUGUAUUUUCUAAGAAGGUGGUUGGGUUAGCAAACACACACCAUAGAUACAAAUUGAGUUCUUGCUUUUUGUGCUUUCCUUCUUUCUCUUUCUUUUCUCUUCCUCUAUCUCCAUCUCUCUCUCCUUGUGUCCUUCUCCUCUCCUUUCUUUCCAUCAUAGCUUGUACCUUGUUUCAAAAAUAACUUUUUGGCUUAUAUUUCAGUAGAACAGUAUGAAAAUGGUAUCAGGACAACAAAAUAUAUAAAUGCAAAACACUACAGUUUGUGUCACCUAGGGUAGUUACAAAUGUUACUAGAAAGAGAUUUUCUAUCAUUUAUGGCUAUUAUUUAAGAUUGCAUUUUGACAUUUUUUUCAAAUGCUAACAGCUUGCAAACCAUUACUGUGUCAAUAAUAUAAGCUGAAUUUUAAAACACAGAAAAGAAAAAAAGGGGGCAUUCACUGAGUUCUUUGGAUCUCCCUUUAAAGCAAAAAUAGACAAGAAAUAAAGCAAGGCAGAAACUUCCUACAAAUUUAUAAGCAAUUGGGGUCAGACUUUUAUUAAUGAUACAUAAGUGAGGUAUUUCAGAAUAUUUUUAUAAAACAGAGAAAACAAAUUUUGAGACAUGAAUUCAAAAGCCUCCUGAAAAAAUAAAACCAGAUUAUUUUGGUUUAGCUAUCCACUCCUCUGCUAAUACACACUACCAGCCCUACGCUGUAUCUUUUCCUUCCUUCCUUCCUUCCUUCCUUCCUUCCUUCUUUCCUUCCUUCCUUCCUUCCUUCUUUCCUUUCAUUCCUCCUCUCUCAAUUUCUUGCUGUCACUCUUAUUCUCCUUAUAGUAGGAGAUUUUAAGCUUUGUAUCAUUCUGUACUUCAUACAGAAGCUGAGCAUUAUAUAAAUCUGUGAAAUGCAGUUGAUAAAUAUCAGCAAGAUCCUUAGAGGUAACAAGAUGGAAUCAGUUCAUCCCAAACACUUCAAUGUCCAGCUUCUCAGGAAAAUAAUUGGGUUCUGACUUUGCAAAUGAGCACCAUCCCUAGUUAUAAUUGACUACUUCUUCCUAGCAUAGAUAAGCAGUCCAAGAAUUUGAGAUGAUGCUCAGCAUAUGAGUGUUUCUUUGCCUAUAGCACUAGGAAAGAAAUUAUAAGGCUUGGAAGUUAUGACCCUUAAUUUAUAGACCCAGGCACCAAGUUAAGAGGUCAGCCACCUUGGAGUUAUUAAAAUCAAAUAUAUCAUUAAGGCAAUCUCAUACUCUUCCAACAGGUAACUUUAGUUGGCCCUGGAGAAAGAGAGAAGGUGGGAAAGAGAAAAUGGAAAAGCAAAAGGAAGGAAUAUUAGCAAAGAUAGCAUAGGGGCACAGCACAAAUUGAAAUUAAAAUUCCCAAUUAAUGCACAGGCAUGAUGUUAGAGUAUAUAUGAAAGAGAUAAAUUGGAUUAUACAUACUCUCACUGAAAUUUAACACCCUCAAUCAGAAGUACCUCUUCUUACCCCUUUGACAUUUUCUACAUUUCAUAGUUUGCUAUUCUCUUGGUUUUUCCACUUCAUUAUAAUGUUUGAGGCAUCUUUUUUGUUUAAAAAAAGAGAAAAGUAUCUUUGAACUUCACCUUGAGCUUUUCAUAGGAAAAAUAAGAGAGAACUCAAUGGAUAUGCUAAAUAAGCACUGCUGGAGUGAGCAGCUUAAGGCUGUGCCCCCAAACUUCAACUGCAUAAGCCUUUCUUCAGAUAAAUCACAAAUUAAUGCAGUUCUUUCUCAAGUGGAUAAGCUUAUGUCUAUAUUUUAAUGUUAUAUAUAUUUUCUUUACCUUUAUGAAUUCGUUCUCUUUUUUAAAACAGAAUAGAGUUUUUAAUUCAUUAACUUGAUAAACUUUUAAAAAUCAUUUCUGAGUCUGGAUCCCCGAUGAGCUAAUUCUCAAUGCAAACAUGCUUUUCCUAAACCCUUUUAUUGAAGAUUCAGGAAUGUCUAUGCAAGUGACACACUUUAGGGAGAGACAAGUCUCAGUUGCAAGCCUUGCCUUUUAUUAAUUAUUUGAAUUUAGAUAUGUUAUUUAACUUUGUUAGGUACAUUUUGUUCUCAUCUAUAAUAUGUAGUAUUAAAUCAGCUCACCUCAUGGUGUUGCUAUAAAGACUAACAAGGCAGCACCUCCGCAUAGCAGUCAUUAAAACCAUAACCAGGCUUUCUAACCAGCUAACUUGUUGCACACAUUUGAUUCUAGUGCAAUAAUCUCAAAUGGAGGUCCUCAGAGAUAGCCUGAUGGGAGUUGGAUUCAUAGAUCUCAGAAGGGUGAGAUGGAUUCUUCUGCUAGGAUCUGCUAGAGAAAUUGCUACCAUGCAGCCCAAGGCUUACCUAUUUUAUAAAACAAGAAACUAUUAGGCAAACAUUAGCACUUCAAGCUUUUCUAAUAUGUCAGAGAAGGAGACAAGUUUUUACUUCUUGACUUUAAGUGACCUACCCCAUUUUUCCAUCUCCAUAUCACAUUCCUCAGAGUCUCAGUCUCUGUGUUAUGUUGGCUUCUUUGCCUGGAAAUUAAUAAAAAAGAACAUAUCAUUAAACUCAGCCUUCAAACUCCUUGAUCUGUCUUCCUUUACUCAACAAACAUUAGCUACCUACCACCCAUCUGUACUCUGUAGAAUUGAAUAGUCUGUAUAAGUUGUGUUUGGGCUUUAUGACAUACAAUGUAUUUAGGGAAAAACUGUCUUUUAAUAGGACCCUUCUUUGGAUGGAGUCCUAGUGUCAGUGAAGAUUCAGUCCAUGUUAGUACCCCAAGUAGGCUAGUAGUCUGGUACCCUUUAAACUUAUAUUCCAUUAAUACUUUAACAUUUAUUUAUAGGAAAAGAUACACGGUGUGUGGAGUAUGAGGAGAGGUUAGCAAAGAAAGACCAUUAUUUAUGGCUUUCAGGCUUUCUUUUAUUAUGCUGAGAAACUCAGCUCAGGUUCCAAAAGUUCAAACUCACUACAAAUCAUAAACGUGGAGCUGGUCAUACCUAGUCUCCUCAGAAGAAAGUUUUAACAGUCCUUGUUCUCUGAAUGUAAUUUGGGUUGUCACUAACAUCCUCCCAAAAUAAGAAGCUUAUCAAAAUAGUCCUUCUAAUCAUUUAAGAGUAUUCUUGAGAGGUCAAUUUUGUUACAUUUCCAGUAUUUAUUUGUGUGUGUCUCUAUAAGAGAUCUGCCAUGUUUUAAAGUAAAAUAUAUUGCCAUCAAAUGUUUUUGACUGUUUGACUAGUUGAUCACUCUUAUUAGCUGUGUUUGUAAUAUUAUUAAGACAUUAGUUGCUUUUUGCAAUAAUACAAAAUUAAGAGCUGCCAACAUUUCCUUGCUCAGUACCUAAGCCCUUAGAUCCUCACAGCAAUCAGAAAUGAAUUAGGAGAAGUGUUUUAGUUACUCUUGUAAUUCAAGGCCUUUACAUUCAAUCAGAAAGCCUUACACAGUCACCCUGUUGGCCAAUUCAGAAUAUUUUGAGAACAGUUCUCCAUUCUUUUACUCCUAUCAGAAUCUCCCAUUUUGCACCUUCCAAUAUUACAAAACUUUAAGAUACAACACAGUUAAGGGGAGGCAUGCAGUGUCCCAUUUUACUAUGGGUGUUAAAGUCUGAAGGAUUGAAAGUCAGAAUCAAGAAUCACAUUUGAAACAUGGCCAGUUAAGAGGCUUGGGGUUUUCAUGCACAACGCUUGCAAGAAGAACAAAAGACUACUUCAAAAUGAUUCGUAAGUUCAACACAGGAUCUGUCAAUAGAAAUACUAGAUGAUCGCCUAACCCCAUGAAGAAAAAGGGACAGGAAAUUGGCAGCUGGCUCUAUGAAAUCUGCCUUCCUUUUGUAAGCCUUGAGGAAAUCUUAGGAAGUGUUCAGAAGUUAUGAGCUAGGUCAAAAGCAGUAUAAACACUGUAUUGGCUUUCAAGCACUUGUUCUAGGGUAGUCCACUCAAAGAUGAGAAAACUAGAAAGAGUAAUGAUGUAAUGAACAUAUUCUAAAACAAAAAAGAACAUUUGCAGAGCAGAGAUGUAUUAAAACAAUGUACUAUAUAAAAUAGAAAAUUAUUUUAAAUAAAUAUGCACCUACAUGUGUUAUUAAUAAAACAACAAACAGUCUCGGUUUGGUUUUAAGUGAGCCUAAUUAAAUUGCACUCUUCUUUUCUUUCUUCAUCUAGAAACAAUUGAGAAGCAGACACAGAAGUCAAACUUUUUCAAUAAGCUAAAUUGGAAGAAAGGGCUUAGCACACGGUGUUUCCUAAUCUUUCCUGCCAACCAUUUAUUUAAGCUCAGAUCUUGGGAAGCCCAUCUAAGGGCUUCCAAAGAGAAAAUGCUACUUAUCAAGAAUCAUGCCUUUCCUGUUGCAGAGUAGAAGUAAACAAAAUCAAGAAAUCUCCAAUGCUCACACAAUUUUAACAGGUUUGGCCAAUACAACAGAGACGUGAAAACCAACAGAUGUCCCCCACCAAUCCAGGAAUGAGUGAAUUCUUGCUCUAUCAGGACCUGUGAGACUUCCCUCAAGAGCUGGUUGUUAAAAAGAGCCUAGGACCUCUUCCCUCUCUUGCUUCCUCUCUUGCCUUGUGAUCUUCACAUCCUGACUCUCCUUCACCUUCCACUCUGAGUGGAAGUUUCCUGAGGCUCUCGCAAGAAGCAGAUAUCGGCACCAUGCUUCUUUUACAGUCUUCAUAGUCCUGAGAACAAAAUCUAAAUCCUAGGAUUCCUUGACAUUCUGUUACUGAGAGUCUGCAGUCUCAAGACUUUAAGGAUAAUAGUUCCAAAGGAAUGUUAUCUGUACGUUUUUUCUGAGUAAACACUUCCAUUUCAAGCAAAACAUUUGGGAUUCUAUUUGUUGGCUGUUUCUCCAGCUUCCAUUUCCC